CGUCAUGUCAGAACCGGCAAGGAUCCUCAGGUGGGCGGAGACCUAUGUUCCGGCCCUGUCGGCGGUCCACAUUCCCGGCGUUGUCAAUUGGACGGCAGAUUUCAUGAGCCGGACGACGAUAGACCCCGGGGAAUGGUCUCUCCAUCCGGAAGUAUUCAACGAUCUCUGUCAUCACUCGGAAGGGA
This is a long non-coding RNA of Bufo bufo (common toad), 185 nucleotides long. RefSeq lists it as uncharacterized. The record is from RefSeq and is a predicted model, not a curated record. Lineage: Eukaryota; Metazoa; Chordata; Amphibia; Anura; Bufonidae. The transcript has 4 exons.